RNAcentral lists this ribosomal RNA (500 nucleotides) under uncultured bacterium. RNAcentral's name for it is "partial 16S ribosomal RNA". It matches the Rfam family "Bacterial small subunit ribosomal RNA", at positions 30 to 523 of the family's 1533-position model. The record is from RNAcentral.
AUUGAACGCUGGCGGCAUGCCUUACACAUGCAAGUCGAACGGUAACAGGGAGCUUGCUCCGCUGACGAGUGGCGAACGGGUGAGUAAUGUAUCGGAACGUACCUUUUAGUGGGGGAUAACGUAGCGAAAGUCACGCUAAUACCGCAUAUUCUCUGAGGAGGAAAGCAGGGGACCUUCGGGCCUUGCGCUAAUAGAGCGGCUGAUAUCAGAUUAGCUAGUUGGUGAGGUAAAGGCUCACCAAGGCGACGAUCUGUAGCGGGUCUGAGAGGAUGAUCCGCCACACUGGAACUGGGACACGGUCCAGACUCCUACGGGAGGCAGCAGUGGGGAAUUUUGGACAAUGGGGGCAACCCUGAUCCAGCCAUGCCGCGUGAGUGAAGAAGGCCUUCGGGUUGUAAAGCUCUUUCGGCCGGGAAAAAAUCGCAUGGGUUAAUACCCUGUGUGGAUGAUGGUGCCGGAAUAAGAAGCACCGGCUAACUACGUGCCAGCCGCCGCCGUAA